Molecule: long non-coding RNA, 1640 nt
Organism: Ictalurus punctatus (channel catfish)
Lineage: Eukaryota; Metazoa; Chordata; Actinopteri; Siluriformes; Ictaluridae
Source: Ensembl
CUUCAAUAAAUACAAGAAGUGCUUCAACUGAUAAUGCAAAGCAAUGAAAAUGUGUACCAUUCGUCAGCGUCUUUACGCCACGCCGGUCGUUCGUCGGCGUCUUUACAGUAAAGGUUGUCGUUCGUCGGCGUCUUUACAGUAAAGGUUGUCGUUCGUCGGCGUCUUUACAGUAAAGGUUGUCGUUCGUCGGCGUCUUUACAGUAAGGCUGCCGUUCGUCGGCGUCUUUACAGUAAGGCUGUCGUUCGUCGGCGUCUUUACAGUAAGGCUGCCUUUCGUCGGCGUAUUUACAGUAAGGUUGUCGUUCGUCGGCGUCUUUACAGUAAAGGUUGUCGUUCGUCGGCGUCUUUACAGUAAGGCUGUCGUUCGUCGGCGUCUUUACAGUAAAGGUUGUCGUUCGUCGGCGUCUUUACAGUAAGGCUGUCGUUCGUCGGCGUCUUUACAGUAAGGCUGUCGUUCGUCGGCGUCUUUACAGUAAAGGUUGUCGUUCGUCGGCGUCUUUACAGUAAGGCUGUCGUUCGUCGGCGUCUUUACAGUAAAGGUUGUCGUUCGUCGGCGUCUUUACAGUAAAGGUUGUCGUUCGUCGGCGUCUUUACAGUAAAGGUUGUCGUUCAUCGGCGUCUUUACAGUAAAGGUUGUCGUUCGUCAGUGUCUUUACAGGAAGCUGGACAUUUGUCAGCGUUUUUAACAUUGCGCUAAUCAUUUGUUAGUGUUUUUUUCAGAACAGUUAAUGUGCUACUUCAGAAUGUGUGAAAUCAUUCACUUUCUGUAGAAAUCUCUGGUGAAAUGCUAGAACAUACAAAAUGAACAGUGGUAGUCCAUAUCUGGCUUCAUAUGUAUGCAAAUUACACUGGAACUAUCUUGGAGCUAACAUAACACUGGUUAGCUGUUAGCACAAAACAGGUUUGCUUGUGCAAACAGACGUAGGCUGCCUUCAAAUCCUAUCGGAAAUCUCUUCCUGAGUGUGCAGAGAGCUCUGUGUCUCCGAACGCCGUGCAUGCACGAUACUGCUCAUCCUAAGCACACAGUAGCCCAAGAGCUCAACUAUACUGAAUAAAACAUUGAACACAAUAUAUUUUGUCACCAUGUUACACAUUUAAUACAUCUGUUACUAACAGACUCGUAGUAUACUUUUCCAGAUUAACAAAGUAAUAAUGGAACAAUUUAUCAAUUAUACAAAUAGUAGUUAGUUGCGGCACUGAUGAAAAUAAAUAAUUUGCAGGAAUGAUCGUGAUCGGAAGCUUUUUUUGGUCCGACUACACAACCGUUCGUUCUGGUCUACUAAUCUGACUGGACUAGAGGUGUUCCAAGAGUGCUGAUGUUUAGAACAACAGUCCUGCUACAGUACGUUUCACUGUUUGUCUGUGUUCACUACAUAAAAUUCCAGCUCUAGCAAUAGUUCACUGCAUUGAAACCGUUACUACACUUUCUAUGCGCUGUCAAUCAGUCUGUGUGGUGGCAUGGCAACGCCCAACACACUACCCCAGCUUUGGCUUCUUUGGGAAUUAUUUUGACGGAGCACAGAAAAACUAAAUAUUUGGCCAUAUUGUUAAUAUUAACUUGAAUUACUUGAUAUUAAUUUCUUGUUUAUAGAACUGUUGUAUAAAAGCAAUAUCACAAGACUCCAUUACUAAAGAAAAGG